UAGAAAUGAGCAGUGAAUCAUGAUUUAGAAGUAAGAAGCGUGUGAUUUCAUAAUAAGAUAGGAUAAGAGGCAGAUAGACAUUUUGAGUUUCGCAAUUGGAGAUGUAGGAUUUAAAAGAGAUGGGACAGAGGAGAGAGAGGGUUUUCAAGUUAUGCCGUGUUUUCAAAAUUGUAAUUAACUCAUCAUAUCAUAGAACAUUGCUUUUUGAAGAGUAAAAAUCUAGUGGCCUUGGUACUUUUGAAAACCCAAUCCAAUCUCUACAUGUCUGAAAUUCAUGCAAAAUUCUAUAAUGAGGAUGUCAUAUGUGGACCCUUU
Molecule: long non-coding RNA, 315 nt
Filed under: Prunus persica (peach)
Lineage: Eukaryota; Viridiplantae; Streptophyta; Magnoliopsida; Rosales; Rosaceae
Description: long non-coding RNA (PPER_LNC005698)
Source: RNAcentral